GACGAACGCUGGCGGCGUGCCUAAUACAUGCAAGUAGAACGCUGAAGAGAGGAGCUUGCUCUUCUUGGAUGAGUUGCGAACGGGUGAGUAACGCGUAGGUAACCUGCCGUUGUAGCGGGGGAUAACUAUUGGAAACGAUAGCUAAUACCGCAUAACAAUGGAUGACACAUAGUCAUUUAUUUGAAAGGGGCAAUUGCUCCACUACAAGAUGGACCUGCGUUGUAUUAGCUAGUAGGUGAGGUAAUGGCUCGACCUAGGCACGAUACAUAGCCGACCUGAGAGGGUGAUCGGCCACACUGGGGGACUGAGACACGGCCCAGACUCCUACGGGAGCAGCAGUAGGG
RNAcentral lists this ribosomal RNA (344 nucleotides) under uncultured bacterium. RNAcentral's name for it is "bacterial SSU rRNA". It matches the Rfam family "Bacterial small subunit ribosomal RNA", at positions 28 to 359 of the family's 1533-position model. The record is from RNAcentral.